Molecule: ribosomal RNA, 439 nt
Filed under: uncultured bacterium
Lineage: Bacteria
Description: partial 16S ribosomal RNA
Rfam family: Bacterial small subunit ribosomal RNA
Source: RNAcentral
CUACGGGGCGCAGCAGUGAGGAAUAUUGCACAAUGGAGGAAACUCUGAUGCAGCAACGCCGCGUGGAGGAUGACGCAUUUCGGUGUGUAAACUCCUUUUAUAUGUCAAGAAAAUGACGGUAGCAUAUGAAUAAGCUCCGGCUAACUCCGCGCCAGCAGCCGCGGUAAUACGGAGGGAGCAAGCGUUACUCGGAAUCACUGGGCGUAAAGGACGCGUAGGCGGGAUAGAAAGUCAGGUGUGAAAUCCUAUGGCUCAACCAUAGAACUGCACUUGAAACUUCUAACCUAGAGUAUGGGAGGGGAAGAUGGAAUUAGUGGUGUAGGGGUAACAUCCGUAGAUAUCACUAGGAAUACCAAAAGCGAAGGCGAUCUUCUGGAACAAUACUGACGCUAAGGCGUGAAAGCGUGGGGAGCAAACAGGAUUAGAUACCCUAGUAGUC